UACGGGGGGUGCAAGCGUUACUCGGAAUCACUGGGCGUAAAGGGCGCGUAGGCGGCCUGGCAAGUCAGCUGUGAAAUCCCGGGGCUCAACCCUGGAAGUGCGGUUGAUACUGCUAGACUUGAGUAUGGGAGAGGGAAGUGGAAUUCCUGGUGUAGAGGUGAAAUUCGUAGAUAUCAGGAGGAACACCUGUGGCGAAGGCGACUUCCUGGACCAAUACUGACGCUGAGGCGCGAAGGCGUGGGGAG
This 245-nucleotide ribosomal RNA is filed under the name uncultured Desulfatitalea sp. Its description in RNAcentral is "partial 16S ribosomal RNA". It matches the Rfam family "Bacterial small subunit ribosomal RNA", at positions 524 to 768 of the family's 1533-position model. The record is from RNAcentral. Lineage: Bacteria; Pseudomonadati; Thermodesulfobacteriota; Desulfobacteria; Desulfobacterales; Desulfosarcinaceae.